CAUGCAACAAAGUCUGAACCAGACCGGCGGUCACGUGUUUGGUGGAACCGGGUUUCAUGAACCGAGAGUGAGAAAUCCCCUCCACCAUGAAAGCAAGCUGGAAGACAACUAUGAGGGCCAAGACGUACAUACCGGUUCUGGUUCCUGGCCAACCGGAGAAGAGAAUCUCGGCAUCGCUACCCCAGAAGAAGGUCAUAUGCAUCAUCAUCUUAUGGUGGUUCGUCAUGUUCAUGCCGCCAUCUGAUGUGUUGUGCAUCAUCAUGCCAUGCAUAUUGUCAUCAUUCAUGCCCUCCAUGGAUGAAUCUUUUUCUCAGUUUGGCUCUUGAGAGUGUGGGCCUGC
Molecule: long non-coding RNA, 340 nt
Filed under: Gossypium barbadense (sea-island cotton)
Lineage: Eukaryota; Viridiplantae; Streptophyta; Magnoliopsida; Malvales; Malvaceae
Description: long non-coding RNA (GBAR_LNC001976)
Source: RNAcentral